UAACAAACAGUAACUACCAUAUUAACAACCAUAUGGAGACAUAAGCUAAAACACUAAUCACCUAUGGGUAACCCUACUAUCCCACACCCAACCGCGAGAGAUGCGAACGAAGGACUCUAGGAGCCCCUAGCCUACAAUCCUGAUUCUAAACCUCCAAACGCCCCUAUCAAGGGUCAUGCCCUCGGUAACCUGCAAUCUGGUCAUGUCCUGCCNNNN
Molecule: long non-coding RNA, 216 nt
Filed under: Nicotiana benthamiana
Lineage: Eukaryota; Viridiplantae; Streptophyta; Magnoliopsida; Solanales; Solanaceae
Description: long non-coding RNA (NBEN_LNC009043)
Source: RNAcentral